RNAcentral lists this ribosomal RNA (346 nucleotides) under Sphodromantis viridis. RNAcentral's name for it is "partial 16S ribosomal RNA". Lineage: Eukaryota; Metazoa; Arthropoda; Insecta; Mantodea; Mantidae. The record is from RNAcentral.
GGCCGCAGUAUUUUGACUGUGCAAAGGUAGCAUAAUAAUUAGUCUUUUAAUUGAAGGCUGGUAUGAAUGGUUGGAUGAGGUGAAUUCUGUUUUAUGUUAAUUUUUAUUGAAUUUAGAUUUUAAGUAAAAAGACUUAAAUUUUGUUAAGGGACGAGAAGACCCUAUAGAGUUUAAUAAAUGUAGUAAUUAAUUGAGUUAAAUUUUAAUUUUUGAUUAUUAUGAAAGUUAUUUAAUUGGGGUGAUUAGGAGAUAAGAUUAACUCUUCUUUAUAUUUAAUAUAAUAAUUAGUUAUAUGAUCCAUAUUUAAUGAUUAAAAGAUUAAAUUACCUUAGGGAUAACAGCAUAA